RNAcentral lists this ribosomal RNA (1350 nucleotides) under uncultured bacterium. Its description in RNAcentral is "bacterial SSU rRNA". It matches the Rfam family "Bacterial small subunit ribosomal RNA", at positions 29 to 1394 of the family's 1533-position model. The record is from RNAcentral.
ACGAACGCUGGCGGCGUGCUUAACACAUGCAAGUCGAGCGGAAAGGCCCUUCGGGGUACUCGAGCGGCGAACGGGUGAGUAACACGUGAGUAACCUACCUCGAACUCUGGGAUAAGCCUGGGAAACUGGGUCUAAUACCGGAUGUUCAUCUCCUGCUGCAUGGUGGGGGAUGGAAAGUGUUUAGCGGUUCGGGAUGGGCUCGCGGCCUAUCAGCUUGUUGGUGAGGUAAUGGCUUACCAAGGCUUUUACGGGUAGCCGGCCUGAGAGGGCGACCGGCCACACUGGGACUGAGAUACGGCCCAGACUCCUACGGGAGGCAGCAGUGGGGAAUAUUGCGCAAUGGGCGGAAGCCUGACGCAGCAACGCCGUGUGAGGGAUGACGGCCUUCGGGUUGUAAACCUCUUUCACCAGGGACGAAGCUUUUGUGACGGUACCUGGGGAAGAAGCGCCGGCCAACUACGUGCCAGCAGCCGCGGUAACACGUAGGGCGCGAGCGUUGUCCGGAAUUAUUGGGCGUAAAGGGCUCGUAGGCGGUUUGUCGCGUCGGAAGUGAAAAUCCGGGGCUCAACUCCGGACUUGCUUUCGAUACGGGCAGGCUAGAGGUAGGCAGGGGAGAAUGGAAUUCCUGGUGUAGCGGUGGAAUGCGCAGAUAUCAGGAGGAACACCGGUGGCGAAGGCGGUUCUCUGGGCCUUACCUGACGCUGAGGAGCGAAAGCGUGGGGAGCGAACAGGAUUAGAUACCCUGGUAGUCCACGCUGUAAACGUUGGGCGCUAGGUGUGGGAGUCUUUUGUGACGUCCGUGCCGUAGCUAACGCAUUAAGCGCCCCGCCUGGGGAGUACGGUCGCAAGACUAAAACUCAAAGGAAUUGACGGGGGCCCGCACAAGCGGCGGAGCAUGUUGCUUAAUUCGAGGCAACGCGAAGAACCUUACCUGGGUUUGACAUGUGGGUUAAUCCGGCAGAGAUGUCGGGUCCUUUUGGGAACUCAUGCAGGUGGUGCAUGGCUGUCGUCAGCUCGUGUCGUGAGAUGUUGGGUUAAGUCCCGCAACGAGCGCAACCCUCGUCCUAUGUUGCCAGCACGUUAUGGUGGGGACUCAUAGGAGACUGCCGGGGUCAACUCGGAGGAAGGUGGGGAUGAUGUCAAGUCUUCAUGCCCCUUAUGUCCAGGGCUGCAAACAUGCUACAAUGGUCGGUACAAUGGGCUGCGAGACCGUGAGGUGGAGCGAAUCCCUAAAAGCCGGCCUCAGUUCGGAUCGGGGUCUGCAACUCGACCCCGUGAAGUUGGAGUCGCUAGUAAUCGCGGAUCAGCAACGCCGCGGUGAAUACGUUCCCGGGCCUUGCACACACCGCC